Tachyglossus aculeatus (Australian echidna) is the source of this 138-nucleotide small nucleolar RNA. NCBI's taxonomy places the organism in Eukaryota, Metazoa, Chordata, Mammalia, Monotremata, Tachyglossidae. The record is from RefSeq and is a predicted model, not a curated record.
CCCCUCUCAGGAUCACACUUGGAGAGUGUCCAGUACUCCUGCAGUCUCGGCUAUGGGUGGGAAAGUCAGGCAGAGGACUACCCAUUCCAUUCCUAGCUUGGCCAGUGACUGGCGAGUGGAAGGCAAUCUGCUACAAGU